This is a long non-coding RNA of Diceros bicornis minor, 1171 nucleotides long. RefSeq lists it as uncharacterized. NCBI's taxonomy places the organism in Eukaryota, Metazoa, Chordata, Mammalia, Perissodactyla, Rhinocerotidae. The record is from RefSeq and is a predicted model, not a curated record. The transcript has 3 exons.
GAAGUUGGCUCAGUUGCCAGGCUGCAGAGAAUCCAGUCACCAAUCUAUGCAGGCCCACAAGUUGCCUGAGGGCUUGUUGUUGGGUGGGGCCUGUCUCUAGGGGGGGCUGCCUGCCCUGGCUGAGCUGGAUUAAAUCGGUGCUCUAGCGGGUGGGGCAGACCCUGGGCUAGCAGGCCUCAGGGAGAACUCCAAUGGCGUCUGUGUCAGCACGCCCACACCAGGCCACAACAAUGGCCGCCGCCAAUGUCCCAGUCCCUGGAGAGGUCUCACCCCUCACCGAGUUGCACUCAGGGUCUAUUACAAUAGUGAAUGAACUAUCUAUUGCCAAUCCACAAACUCUUUAGUACCAGAUUGCCAGUAAAUGAAUAGAGAAAUUCAAAGAUCAGUUGUCCUCAUUGUUUGUGAUAGUGUUUCUCUUUCAUAAUCCUGGUGUUCCACAAAUGUCUGGUGUCCUUGGAACCUGGACUGUGGUGGUGUCUCCUAUGAUGCCUCUACCGUCUUCCUGCUCAAUGGAGCAUUAUAGACAGGAUUUGCAGAGCUGGAGCAAAGGCUAUCUGGGACAAGGAGAGACAACCCUUCCCACAAAGUGAAGCCUCCUUUAAAGCAUCCUUAAAUCAGAGGACAUUUCUGAGAUAGUGGGAGCAAAGAAAUUCCUCACUCUGACUUCACCUAGACAGUGGUCCCCACCUGGAUGCAUUCCAGUGAGAAGAAGAUGUGGGGAAAACACAGAGAAGUGAUGAACAUCCUAACUGCCUGAGGCAUAAUGACAACCUAGACAGACUGACCUUCUAGAUAGAUUUACUACUCUGAACAGACUGAUAUGUCCAGAUACAAUGAAAUAGCUGGGAUCCACAGGUCAUCUUUAUAUACUGACAACAUAUGGACACUGAUAGGUUGAUCCAAACCUACUGAGAGGCUCACAAUACUCAACCCUUAAUACAAAAUGACACCUCUCAACACAAAAGAAAGGCCACUCCAGAUACACCACACACACUCCAGAACCCAUGAAGUCCCCUGCCCACACUGCCCUGGCAUCCUUAUUUGGGGGGAGGUUGGACUGAGAUCAUUAGGAGCCCCUGUUGACCAUCUUUUAUUUCUUCUUUCCAUUUAUAAAAUAUUUUGAAACAGUUCCCUAAGUUUCAGCUUGGCAAGGAUUGCACAUGCUCAUUCA